RNAcentral lists this ribosomal RNA (465 nucleotides) under Vreelandella stevensii. RNAcentral describes it as "partial 16S ribosomal RNA". It matches the Rfam family "Bacterial small subunit ribosomal RNA", at positions 338 to 795 of the family's 1533-position model. The record is from RNAcentral. Lineage: Bacteria; Pseudomonadati; Pseudomonadota; Gammaproteobacteria; Oceanospirillales; Halomonadaceae.
CCUACGGGGGGCAGCAGUGGGGAAUAUUGGACAAUGGGGGGAACCCUGAUCCAGCCAUGCCGCGUGUGUGAAGAAGGCCCUCGGGUUGUAAAGCACUUUCAGUGAGGAAGAACGCCUGGUGGUUAAUACCCAUCAGGAAAGACAUCACUCACAGAAGAAGCACCGGCUAACUCCGUGCCAGCAGCCGCGGUAAUACGGAGGGUGCGAGCGUUAAUCGGAAUUACUGGGCGUAAAGCGCGCGUAGGUGGCUUGAUAAGCCGGUUGUGAAAGCCCCGGGCUCAACCUGGGAACGGCAUCCGGAACUGUCAAGCUAGAGUGCAGGAGAGGAAGGUAUAAUUCCCGGUGUAGCGGUGAAAUGCGUAGAGAUCGGGAGGAAUACCAGUGGCGAAGGCGGCCUUCUGGACUGACACUGACACUGAGGUGCGAAAGCGUGGGUAGCAAACAGGAUUAGAUACCCUGGUAGUC